RNAcentral lists this ribosomal RNA (301 nucleotides) under uncultured bacterium. Its description in RNAcentral is "partial 16S ribosomal RNA". It matches the Rfam family "Bacterial small subunit ribosomal RNA", at positions 509 to 807 of the family's 1533-position model. The record is from RNAcentral.
CAGCCGCCGCGGGAAUACGUAGGUGGCAAGCGUUGUCCGGAAUUAUUGGGCGUAAAGGGCUCGCAGGCGGUUUCUUAAGUCUGAUGUGAAAGCCCCCGGCUCAACCGGGGAGGGUCAUUGGAAACUGGGAGACUUGAGUGCAGAAGAGGAGAGUGGAAUUCCACGUGUAGCGGUGAAAUGCGUAGAGAUGUGGAGGAACACCAGUGGCGAAGGCGACUCUCUGGUCUGUAACUGACGCUGAGGAGCGAAAGCGUGGGGAGCGAACAGGAUUAGAGACCCCAGUAGUCCCUGUCUCUUAUAC